CCAUGGGCUAGCCUUCCAAUACUCUCUGAGAGGGGUCAGUUUGCCUCUGGUGCUGCAGACCACCCGGGAGCCUGAACAACUCUCACAGACCUUCCUCCUCUGUCCA
Long non-coding RNA from Myotis davidii, 106 nucleotides. RefSeq lists it as uncharacterized. The transcript has 3 exons. The record is from RefSeq and is a predicted model, not a curated record. NCBI's taxonomy places the organism in Eukaryota, Metazoa, Chordata, Mammalia, Chiroptera, Vespertilionidae.